AGCGAACGCUGGCGGCAGGCCUAACACAUGCAAGUCGAACGAACCUUUCGGGGUUAGUGGCGGACGGGUGAGUAACACGUGGGAACGUGCCUUUAGGUUCGGAAUAACUCAGGGAAACUUGUGCUAAUACCGAAUGUGCCCUUCGGGGGAAAGAUUUAUCGCCUUUAGAGCGGCCCGCGUCUGAUUAGCUAGUUGGUUGAGGUAAUGGCUCACCAAGGCGACGAUCAGUAGCUGGUCUGAGAGGAUGAUCAGCCACAUUGGGACUGAGACACGGCCCAAACUCCUACGGGAGGCAGCAGUGGGGAAUCUUGCGCAAUGGGCGAAAGCCUGACGCAGCCAUGCCGAGUGAAUGAUGAAGGUCUUAGGAUUGUAAAAUUCUUUCACCGGGGACGAUAAUGACGGUACCCGGAGAAGAAGCCCCGGCUAACUUCGUG
RNAcentral lists this ribosomal RNA (434 nucleotides) under uncultured bacterium. Its description in RNAcentral is "partial 16S ribosomal RNA". It matches the Rfam family "Bacterial small subunit ribosomal RNA", at positions 29 to 507 of the family's 1533-position model. The record is from RNAcentral.